Long non-coding RNA from Homo sapiens (human), 1061 nucleotides. The record is from Ensembl. Lineage: Eukaryota; Metazoa; Chordata; Mammalia; Primates; Hominidae.
CCUUUUCACAAGAUGGCGCCGAAAGCGAAGAAGGAAGCUCCUGCCCCUCCUACAGCUGAAGCCAAAGUGAAGGCUUCGAAGGCCAAGAAGGCAGUGUUGAAAGGUGUCCACAACCACAAAAAAAGAAAAAGAAAAAAAGAAAGAUCUGCCCGUCACCCACCUUCCAGCAGCCCAAGACACUGCGACUCCGGAGGCAGCCCAGAUAUCCUCGGAAGAGCGCCCCCAGGAGAAACAAGCUUAACCACUACACUAUCAAAUUUCCGCUGACCACUGAGUCGGCCAUGAAGAAGACAGAAGACAACAGCACGCUUGUGUUCACUGUGGAUGUUAAAGCCAACAAGCACCAGAUCAAACAGGCUGUGAAGAAGCUCUGUGACAUCGAUGUGGCCAAGGUCAACACCUGAUUCGGCCUGAUGGAGAGAAGGCAUAUAUUCAACUGCCUCCUGAUUACGAUGCUUUGGAUGUUGCCAAACUUUCAUCAUAUCAACAAGCGUUUACUAAACAUCUAUGAUGUACCAAGCCCUGUGCUGUACAAUGGAACUGUCUCACAUCAGUAUUCAUUUAAAAAUAGUAUUUAUGAAAAUUUUUCAGAGGCAGUUGAAUCCAAACAACAGGAUUUCAUUCCCUGUGCUGAGCCUCCUUUCAGUUUCCUCUUCCUACCUAUGUCUCAGCUGAAAACUUAAGACCACUCACCCUACAGCCAAUGGUUCCACCUUCUGCAGCUGUCGUCUAAAUUCCAAAUGCAGCCAUGUCAAGGCACCUGCACAUGGCAGCUGUAAAAGAAACACUGGCACUUUACUGCUGAGAGGAAAGGUAGUGCCAUUUUUUGAGCAUCGGUUCCCUCCCAGAGAGGAUGACAGCUGGCAACUCUGUCCUACAGAAAAUAGGAAAGCAAGAGAAACAUAUACAGAAAUGCCUACAUAUGAUGUCACUCGGUAGCCACAGCCCUAAAAGUAUCCCAGAAAGAGGGCAAAUUAGCUGUAAAGCUAAAGCAAAAAAUUUUCCUGAACAGUAUUUGGUUACAAGGACAAAUAAAGUUCAUUUAUAUUCAUUGCUUAGUG